UUUAAAUGGUCUAGGGUGGGUAAUCAGCACUGAUAACAUAUUUUCAAGCUCCCUCAGCUGAUUCUAACAUAGCCAGGAUGAGACCCUUAGUCAGGCCCUUCACUCCCAAGUCACCAAACUCCCACACCUGGUGACAUUUGCAUUCUGUGACCUUAGGCAGAAUGAUUCAUAAUCACUCCUGAAAAAACAGUUGAUGGAGAUUUCAGCAAGAGCAGGUUCUUCUCCUGAGGGAACCCUGAAACUCUAGGCCUCAGUGAUCCCAGCCUAUGAGGCAGAGCUUGGAACCAUGCACAGAGAGGACAUUUUAGCUCAAUACUGCAUCCUUUUUGCUGCACUCUCCUCCAGGGUGCUGGAUGUGGUGAAAACCUGAAGCAAGCAACGAUGAGGUGCCUCUGCUGUGAUGGGCAAGCUGCCAGUCUCCUACCUGCCGGACCUUCCUAGAAUCCUAGGGCCAGGUCUACUUGGGCCAGACGACGCCAGCGUCCCCCGCCGCCUCAGCGCCUCAGCCCCACGCGCUUGUGCGCCUUCUGAGCAUCAGCGGAUGGACCUGGGCGGGGGCGGGGCCGGAGGAGGGGGCGGUGGGAAGGUCUGCGGCCUCCAGCACCGCCUUGGCAGAUUUUGUUUUUAAACCAUGGAUUUAGGUUGUAAAUUAACUUGUGGGGCGUGGACUGCAGGAAGAACCACCUUCCCUGCCUUCUGUUUUCCCACCAGGGGCUCUGGACAAGCACUUUUUCUAUUUACACUUUUAUUUUUUCUUUCAAAGGGAUGGGAUUAGGGGACGAGGGGUGGGGGGCAUGGUCUGUAGGCUCCUCUGUGCCCAUCUUGCACCUCCAAGGGGCCUGGGGUGUGGGGGUGGGUGUGAGUGUGGGGCGUACUGGAAGAUGACAGGCGCCCCGCUCACGCCUGUCACUGUGGGGGGCACCAGUAUACCAGCCCUCCGCCCGCAGUCAGCCCCUGCCUCACCACAGACUCCUGUUGCCCAUCCCUCUGGGGUCUCAGUGCUCUGGGCAAGGGGAACAACGAAGAGGCUGUGCCCUGCCCUCGGCCCUCACCCCAGAAAUGCCAAGGCCUCGCCACCGCCACAUCGCCAUCCUGCACUGAGGACUCUGGAGGCCAUUAGGGGCUGCCUUGUUUGCUGUUGUAUUGGGUCUGUGUCGACUCUCCCUCCACCUUUAGUGUUUCGUUUCUUCCCUCCUUUCCUUCCCUCCUGUUCCCACUCCCAAGUUCAGCACAGGUAAAAGGGUUACCCCUCCCUCCCUGCCUCCUGGAUCACCAACUCACAGUUGCUUCCUUCUCUUUUAUUUUCGUGUGUGUAUAAUUUAUUUUUUUCUUCCUCCCCUUUUCUGUCCUCCCUCCCUCCCUCUCUGCCAUGUAACUGGAGGAUGUGCAAUGAGUUUGCAAACAGCUGGGCUGUCAGGCUGCUUUGCUCUCCAAUGUUUCUCCUCUGCCUCCCCUCCUCUUCCUCUCUCCCUACCCUUUCCUUCCUUCAGUGUUUCCUUAGAGCAGUGAGCACUACUUGGAAGCUUGAGAGAAACUAAAAUUAAAUUGAGAGAGAGAAAAGGAGAGGGAGAUGCUGGAAAUAUCACAGAAACAGCAGCAGAUCCAUGCAGGCAGGGAAGGUGGUCGAUGAAAUUUGGACCUUUAUAGUUCACAGCUGAUUCCCUACCUAUAAUAUCAGAUCACAUAUGUGUCCCAUAAUCAUGGUGACUUCUAGUUUGCAUCAUCUGUUUUUGUUUUAGACACCAAGUGCACCGUGUGGAAUCUGCCAAAUUAAGAAAUCCCUGUCCUCUCAGUCAAUCCUGGCCAAUGCUAUUUCCACAAAUACUUCUUCCUCUACACACCCACUUAGCUCCUUAGCACCAGCCCCCAGCCAUGAUUUGCUUUAAUAUUCAAGAAGAUUCUGGGAGAAAAUAGUAGAAAUUUUUGCCAUUUGCUUUGAACACACGUGCACAGCCAGUGUUCUCAUUUGAGACAAAUCACUAUGGAGAGGUGUUAGCAAGCAGGUUAUUGAUUUUCCUGGGAGAACCUCCACAUCUUGCUUCUGCAUUAGCAGUAUAUCAAGCCAAAACUGACCCGGCUAUCUCCCUCCACACAAAGGAUAUGUGUACUCAGUGUCUCUCAAAUUCAACACACACACACACUUGCAUGUACCUUGGAGAUUUGUCAUUGAUCAUUGUGAAGAACUGUUCUACAAAGUGCAGGAGGUAUUUAAUGUCCCUGACCCACACCCCCGCCCCAAAUGCCAGUGGCAGCCCCAGUUGCUGUAAUAACCAAAAGACUCCCUUAGGUUUUGCAGUAUCCCCCAAGGUGUUUGUAUCAUCCCAGAAUGAGAACCAUAGCUGGCUCUGUGUCGGGUAUUUGCCCUCACUCUUCAGUGCAGUUGUUCUCAACCGUGCGGAGAUUUCAAAACCCCUGAUGGCUGAGUACCACCUCUAGAGAUUCUGAUCAAUUGGUCCAAACUGCAUCUUAGGCAUCAGGAAUUUAAAAAGAGCCCAGCUGAUUCUAAUGGGUAGCUGAGGUCAGCCUUUCCAGCUGAGUCCAAAAGUCUGGGACUCUCUACAGUUACAGAUUUGGCCAGCAUCUGUCACAGGUUAACACAAUGUGAGCCGAAGCAACUGCUUUGAGCCAGGACUAACAUUCCACUCCAUUCACCAGGCUGCUAAUGCUGGAUCUGAUAGCCUCUUGGCUAUUCUGUACCCUGACCCCUGCCUGUGCAGCAACGUAUGGGUCAGUGAGAAGCUAACUGCUAGAUGAAGCAGCCCCUCACCAUCUCAUCGCCUCUAGGAAACACCCUAAAAGGGGAAACGAAUUGUGUAUACAUUUCUCGACUCAGAGAAAAACAGGAAUCUCAGUCUUAGGAGCAGAAUCCUUCUAGUUGCCCAAGGCCUUCUGGGGUGGGGCGUGGGGGGUGGUGGCUCAUUACCAACAAUGUGCCAGUAAAUGUCUCCAAGCAGAACUGUUUAAUUAUCAUGGUUUUUAGCUAUCCGCCACUGCAUUCUUUAAUGAACAUCUCCUUCUUUGUGUGUCCCGGGAGACCCCACCCCUCUCUUGUUCUCACUUAUCUGGCUCGAGUUUCCUAAGAAC
Bubalus bubalis (water buffalo) is the source of this 3084-nucleotide long non-coding RNA. RefSeq lists it as uncharacterized. Lineage: Eukaryota; Metazoa; Chordata; Mammalia; Artiodactyla; Bovidae. The transcript is spliced from 2 exons. The record is from RefSeq and is a predicted model, not a curated record.